GCCAAGAACCAGCCAGCAGAUUUGCAUGCUAUAACUGAAUAAUUUGUGAUUCAGGGAAAAGUUAUGCUGUUGAUAAAAGGUAUCUGAUUAAUUGGAACUAUGAGAUGUCAUCUCUGAUGGAUAUGAAUUGCACAAGCCAGUUAAAAACGGUUCCCAGUAGUAUCUGGUACAAGCUACAUCAGAGAAAUCAGUGCAAAGGACCAAACCACAGAGAGCAAGACACUUCUCUGCUUUCUGAAUUUUCCAGAUGUACCAUGGGGCCUCUUCUUCCUCACACAUGGUAGUAGAAUCCACCGCUCUGUGAUGUGCAGUGAAGGACAGCAUUCAAGUGAAGAGUUUAUUAAUGAAAUAUGAUGGAGUAUGUACAUUUAAUCUUCCUAUCUACCUUCCUCUCGGUUUCCAUGACAUCUGAAACAUGUAAGUCACAUUUUAAGAAUACUUUCUGAUGAGGUUUAUUCUGUAGAAAUGUGUAGGCUGUUCCCAAAUUGGUGAUUUUUUUAAAACCUAAAAUUAGCUAGUUUACCUCAAGCCACAAACCACAGUUUAAAAACUAGCUUUAUGUGUUUUCUCUGUAUAUUAAAACACACUGAGCACUCUCUACUUCCGUGAUAUUGUCUAGGUUCUACUUCUGCUUCCUGGAAUCUCUGCAAGCAGA
This is a long non-coding RNA of Athene cunicularia (burrowing owl), 655 nucleotides long. RefSeq lists it as uncharacterized. Lineage: Eukaryota; Metazoa; Chordata; Aves; Strigiformes; Strigidae. The transcript is spliced from 4 exons. The record is from RefSeq and is a predicted model, not a curated record.